CAAUAGCGUAUAUUAAAGUUGUUGCGGUUAAAAGACUCGUAGUUGGAUUUCUGCCGAGGACGACCGGUCCGCCCUUUGGGUGAGUAUCUGGCUUGGCCUGGGCAUCUUCUUGGAGAACGUAGCUGCACUUGACUGUGUGGUGCGGUAUCCAGGACUUUUACUUUGAGGAAAUUAGAGUGUUUCAAGCAGGCUCACGCCUUGAAUACAUUAGCAUGGAAUAAUAAGAUAGGACCUCGGUUCUUAUUUUGUUUGGUUUCUAGAGCUGAGGUAAUGAUUAAUAGGGAUAGUUGGGGGCGAUUCGUAUUUAACUGUCAGAGGUGAAAUUCUUGGAUUGUUUAAAGACGGACUACUGCGAAAGCAUUUGCCAAGGAUG
This 373-nucleotide ribosomal RNA is filed under the name uncultured eukaryote. RNAcentral describes it as "SSU rRNA". It matches the Rfam family "Eukaryotic small subunit ribosomal RNA", at positions 592 to 966 of the family's 1831-position model. The record is from RNAcentral.